RNAcentral lists this antisense RNA (69 nucleotides) under Actinokineospora bangkokensis. RNAcentral describes it as "ASpks TB sRNA". It matches the Rfam family "ASpks TB sRNA". Lineage: Bacteria; Bacillati; Actinomycetota; Actinomycetes; Pseudonocardiales; Pseudonocardiaceae. The record is from Rfam by way of RNAcentral.
CUUCACCGAGCCGAGCCACACCGGGUUGCUCCGGUCCUGCCCGUAGGUGGCCAGCACGGCCUGGGCCUC